This 502-nucleotide ribosomal RNA is filed under the name uncultured bacterium. Its description in RNAcentral is "partial 16S ribosomal RNA". It matches the Rfam family "Bacterial small subunit ribosomal RNA", at positions 28 to 523 of the family's 1533-position model. The record is from RNAcentral.
GAUGAACGCUAGCUACAGGCUUAACACAUGCAAGUCGAACGGCAGCAUAGGAGCUUGCUCCUGAUGGCGAGUGGCGAACGGGUGAGUAAUAUAUCGGAACGUGCCCUAGAGUGGGGGAUAACUAGUCGAAAGACUAGCUAAUACCGCAUACGAUCUACGGAUGAAAGUGGGGGAUCGCAAGACCUCAUGCUCCUGGAGCGGCCGAUAUCUGAUUAGCUAGUUGGUGGGGUAAAAGCCUACCAAGGCGACGAUCAGUAGCUGGUCUGAGAGGACGACCAGCCACACUGGGACUGAGGCACGGCCCAGACUCCUACGGGAGGCAGCAGUGGGGAAUUUUGGACAAUGGGGGCAACCCUGAUCCAGCAAUGCCGCGUGAGUGAAGAAGGCCUUCGGGUUGUAAAGCUCUUUUGUCAGGGAAGAAACGGUAGUAGCUAAUAUCUAUUACUAAUGACGGUACCUGAAGAAUAAGCACCGGCUAACUACGUGCCAGCCGCCGCGGUAA